Long non-coding RNA from Cyprinus carpio (common carp), 339 nucleotides. RefSeq lists it as uncharacterized. The transcript is spliced from 3 exons. NCBI's taxonomy places the organism in Eukaryota, Metazoa, Chordata, Actinopteri, Cypriniformes, Cyprinidae. The record is from RefSeq and is a predicted model, not a curated record.
UGAAGAAACUGUUGUACAAUUUUUUUUCACAAUGACGUUACUCCUUUAUCUUAGUCUAUGCAAUUGCUUAUAAAUAUAACCUAAAUGAAUUUCUGCUUUCCUUAAAAAAGCCUGUUUGUUAUAUUAAGGAAGUUACUCUUUGUGUCUCUUAUUUAUUAUAAAAAUGUUUAAUCCCUUUCAAUGUUAGGAUAAGGAUUCCCAUGUGACAAGAUAAUACAGAGUUACCUUACUAACCAGUUAGACCAGAUCAUUGAUUUUCUAGACUGAACAGCCCCAGUUACGUGUCCCGGUGUAAAAGGCAAAGUAUCCCCGGUUGGCUGUCUAAGCAAAGCAGGUAAA